UACAGAGGUCUCAAGCGUUGUUCGGAUUCAUUGGGCGUAAAGGGUGCGUAGGCGGUAGCGUAAGUUGGAUGUGAAAUCCCGGGGCUCAACCCCGGAACUGCAUUCAAUACUGCGUUACUAGAGUGCUGGAGAGGAGAUUGGAAUUCACGGUGUAGCAGUGAAAUGCGUAGAUAUCGUGAGGAAGACCAGUGGCGAAGGCGAAUCUCUGGACAGCUACUGACGCUGAGGCACGAAGGCUAGGGGAG
Molecule: ribosomal RNA, 245 nt
Filed under: uncultured bacterium
Lineage: Bacteria
Description: partial 16S ribosomal RNA
Rfam family: Bacterial small subunit ribosomal RNA
Source: RNAcentral